Ctenocephalides felis (cat flea) is the source of this 72-nucleotide non-coding RNA. The record is from the annotation of a RefSeq genome assembly. NCBI's taxonomy places the organism in Eukaryota, Metazoa, Arthropoda, Insecta, Siphonaptera, Pulicidae.
GGCUUGUUGGUCUAGGGUUAUGAUUUCCGCUUAUCAUGCGGGAGGUCCCGGGUUCAAAUCCCGGACGAGCCC